RNAcentral lists this ribosomal RNA (253 nucleotides) under uncultured bacterium. RNAcentral describes it as "partial 16S ribosomal RNA". It matches the Rfam family "Bacterial small subunit ribosomal RNA", at positions 524 to 776 of the family's 1533-position model. The record is from RNAcentral.
UACGUAGGUGACCAGCGUUGUCCGGAUUUACUGGGCGUAAAGAGCGCGCAGGCGGUCGUUCAAGUCGAGUGUGAAAGCCCCCGGCUCAACUGGGGAGGGUCAUUCGAUACUGAUCGACUUGAAGUCAGGAGAGGGAAGUGGAAUUCCCGGUGUAGUGGUGAAAUGCGUAGAUAUCGGGAGGAACACCAGUGGCGAAGGCGACUUCCUGGCCUGUUCUUGACGCUGAGGCGCGAAAGCUAGGGGAGCAAACGGG